AUACCUUUCUCGGCCUUUUGGCUAAGAUCAAGUGUAGUAUCUGUUCUUAUCAGUUUAAUAUCUGAUAUGUGAGUCAUCGACUCACACGAUAUUAACUCAUUUUUUUGAGGGGGGAAGGUCCACCACGGUAGCUUGCUAUCGGGACCUUCAAGAGUCGCCUAGGUGUUGCACUACUGCCUUGGCCUGGCUCACCCCAC
This 197-nucleotide small nuclear RNA is filed under the name Solanum tuberosum (potato). RNAcentral describes it as "snRNA U2". It matches the Rfam family "U2 spliceosomal RNA". Rfam says of the family: U2 is a small nuclear RNA (snRNA) component of the spliceosome (involved in pre-mRNA splicing). The record is from Rfam by way of RNAcentral. Lineage: Eukaryota; Viridiplantae; Streptophyta; Magnoliopsida; Solanales; Solanaceae.